This 1883-nucleotide long non-coding RNA is filed under the name Coturnix japonica (Japanese quail). Its description in RNAcentral is "lncRNA (ENSCJPG00005000573.1)". Lineage: Eukaryota; Metazoa; Chordata; Aves; Galliformes; Phasianidae. The record is from RNAcentral.
CAGAUGUGUAUGUCUGGAAAAUAUAGUGCCUUGCUACAUGACAUCCACGCAUUGUUAUUGUGAAGGAGGUGUGCUGCAAGGCUGCAGCUGGCAGCUGUGAGAAAACGCAUCACUUACAGCAGAGACCUUCAGACCUAGGCUAGCGUUGCCAGCAGCUGAAAUUCCUGGAGCUGUAAACACUGUUGAUAUUGUCUAAAGAUAAAAUAAAAUAAAAUAGUUCAGGAAGACCUGACAAAUGUGCUCUUUCCCCUGCAUCAGUGUGGUAGGGAUGGAUACUGUUUUAUACACAUGGCUGGUUGUUCACUAGUAAAGUACCAAUCCAAAAAGGCUGUUUAACAACAGUUAAUUCCACUUAACACGGGCUAGGAAAUCAUGCAGGGAAUUCACCACCAGCCUGGCCACUGGGGGAAAACAACUGGUGUUGCCACCUACAAGGAACUCAAACAGCUCAGCAUCCACCUGCUCCCAACAGGUGGGCACCCAGCAUAUAUUACAGAUUGCAUAGAGAACAGCUGAGGGAUGAUACCCUCCCUUAAAUCAAGCUUGUUUACAUUUACUUGAAUAGUGGCUUACUUAAAUUCUUUACAAAGGAGUAGUCAGAAUUUGAAGAGAAGAUUCUGCUUCAUGGGCUGAUUCUUGCUCCAGAAAGAAAAGACAUCCUGGGUUCAGAGGGAUCCUGAAAGAAAUGCUGUUAAUGAAUGGCCUUCCCAGCUGUGCAUGCUAUGUUACACCCAGCUCUCUCUUGAUUAUUCUUGCAAAAUAGCUGUGAUCCCAUUUUAUACAAGGUUACAAGAAAAGAGUGCAGAGUCAGCUCUCUGGACUGAAGAUUGCACUGGUCAUGCUGGUACCCAAGAAGCAUCUCUCCAGUUACAUUCUGCCUGGUUGCCUUUUCAAGACCUUGGGUUUUUUAAUUCCUAUGCAUGGGGAACAACAUAUGGCAACAUCUCAGUGAAGAACAGUACCUCAGGUCCACUUUGGGAAUCUUGCUGAUACCUGCAUUUCAGGUGUGGAUGACAACUGAGGUGUGGCAGGCAGAGCAGGUGGCUCUGGAGGCUCCUGCUUGUCUGUAUGCAGUCCGUCAGUCACUGUCAAGUGUCAGGUCACAGAAGCCCCCGCCUCUAAACAAGGAUGUCAUCAGAGGCAACAUGUGCUUCUAAAGGUCAGUCUCCAGCUGUUUGUUAAAGACCUACAUUUUACUCUCUGUGAGAAGAGGUGACUUCUGCACAGAGCAUAUUUGCUUCAAAAUCCAUGCAGUAAGCAGUAAAAAAAGAUAUUAUUUGUUAGCUUCACUAUGUUUUCUUUAUUUCCCUUGGUAACAAGGGAAUACACCAUAGCUCUCAGUUGCCUCUCUCUUUUUCUUUUGUUUAAAUGCUCUGUGCAUGAAAAUUAUCUUUCACCUUUGGUGAUUUAUAAUAAUUACAUUAAAAUUAUUGUUUGCCCAUUUACAUGCUCAAAAACACUUCCUAUGACCUCAUCAAGACAGUCUUUGGGAUAAGGAAAGGCCACAGAAUUGCUAGAAAACAUAUGUGAACUGUUACAGAUAUUCACUGCCUGUCUCGUCUCCUAUCUUGGGUAUACAUAUAAAGAAGAAUAGCUUUUUCCCACAUCACUGAAAAAUUAUUUAGAGUCUUCCUCAGUCUUUUUCUUAACAAAUAUCUAAAAAAAACUUUCAGAAGCAGUACCAGACUUGAUAUUUUAAUUACAGCAGUAGUAGAACAACUCAGAGAAUCUCUAACCUCAAGUGAUGCAGUCUUUCUUUUGCCAAGAGGAUAAUGAGACAAAUGAGGAUUAUUCAAUUAUGCUAAUUUCAUCCAAGUCUUGGCUUCUUUUUUCCUCUGUGAGGAACACUGAAAAAGAACAAAUAAAGGAAUAACUAGAAGACA